UACAGAGGUCCCAAGCGUUGUUCGGAUUCACUGGGCGUAAAGGGUGCGUAGGCGGCGCGGUAAGUCGGGUGUGAAAUCUCGGAGCUUAACUCCGAAACUGCAUUCGAUACUGCCGUGCUUGAGGACUGGAGAGGAGACUGGAAUUUACGGUGUAGCGGUGAAAUGCGUAGAUAUCGGGAGGAACACCAGUGGCGAAGGCGACUUCCUGGCCUGUUCUUGACGCUGAGGCGCGAAAGCUAGGGGAGCAAACGGG
RNAcentral lists this ribosomal RNA (253 nucleotides) under uncultured bacterium. RNAcentral's name for it is "partial 16S ribosomal RNA". It matches the Rfam family "Bacterial small subunit ribosomal RNA", at positions 524 to 776 of the family's 1533-position model. The record is from RNAcentral.